Molecule: transfer RNA, 65 nt
Filed under: Cryptocephalus cantabricus
Lineage: Eukaryota; Metazoa; Arthropoda; Insecta; Coleoptera; Chrysomelidae
Description: tRNA-Arg
Source: RNAcentral
AAGUAAGAAGCAAUAGCUUGCAUCUAGUUUCGACCUAGGGGAAUGAUUAAAUUAAUCCUUACUUA